Molecule: long non-coding RNA, 459 nt
Filed under: Homo sapiens (human)
Lineage: Eukaryota; Metazoa; Chordata; Mammalia; Primates; Hominidae
Description: non-protein coding lnc-PARPBP-8:1
Source: RNAcentral
GGCCCCAGAGGAAACCCACAAGGGGAUUUCAACCCCAUCAGUGUGGAACUCAGUCACUUUGGCAGGAAACAAAGUGAGAAGGAACCUGUUACAGUUUGCACCAUCUAUUAUAGUCGAUGCAAAACAUGACUGUGGGGUGUUACACAGAGCUCUCAUUACAAGAUAAGGUCUCUGCGUGUCAUUUCCCGUCAAUGAUGUUAUUCAGCAGGAUGGCUCACAUGUUGAAACUUGAAACUCCUUGGGUGAAAAAAAAAAUCCCUCUGCAGGCUAUACCAGAUGUUGCUUGUUGUAGCUCCUCAGGCCCAAAAAGAUGAGUUAAUCCUUGAAGGAAAUUAUUUUGAACUUGCAUCAAACUCAGAGGCUUUGAUCCAACAGGCCAUGGCAAUUGAAAACAAGGCUAUCAGAAGAGCUGUGGGUGGUAGUCCUGUCUCUGAGAAAGGAACAGGGCCACUGGCUGAC